CAAAGGUGAGCCAGUACAGGAUGGACCCGCGUCUGAUUAGCUAGUUGGUAAGGUAACGGCUUACCAAGGCGACGAUCAGUAGCCGACCUGAGAGGGUGAUCGGCCACAUUGGAACUGAGACACGGUCCAAACUCCUACGGGAGGCAGCAGUGGGGAAUAUUGCACAAUGGGCGAAAGCCUGAUGCAGCAACGCCGCGUGAGUGAUGAAGGCCUUCGGGUCGUAAAACUCUGUCCUCAAGGAAGAUAAUGACGGUACUUGAGGAGGAAGCCCCGGCUAACUACGUGCCAGCAGCCGCGGUAAUACGUAGGGGGCUAGCGUUAUCCGGAUUUACUGGGCGUAAAGGGUGCGUAGGCGGUCUUUCAAGUCAGGAGUGAAAGGCUACGGCUCAACCGUAGUAAGCUCUUGAAACUGGGAGACUUGAGUGCAGGAGAGGAGAGUGGAAUUCCUAGUGUAGCGGUGAAAUGCGUAGAUAUUAGGAGGAACACCAGUUGCGAAGGCGGCUCUCUGGACUGUAACUGACGCUGAGGCACGAAAGCGUGGGGAGCAAACGGGAUUAGAUACCCUGGUAGU
This 571-nucleotide ribosomal RNA is filed under the name uncultured bacterium. RNAcentral describes it as "bacterial SSU rRNA". It matches the Rfam family "Bacterial small subunit ribosomal RNA", at positions 202 to 794 of the family's 1533-position model. The record is from RNAcentral.